This 512-nucleotide ribosomal RNA is filed under the name uncultured bacterium. Its description in RNAcentral is "bacterial SSU rRNA". It matches the Rfam family "Bacterial small subunit ribosomal RNA", at positions 382 to 883 of the family's 1533-position model. The record is from RNAcentral.
CCUGACCGAGCGACGCCGCGUGGGCGAUGAAGGUUGUAAGAUUGUAAAGCCCUGUCACGAGGGAAGAAAUGCGGAUUUUCAAACAGACUAUCCGUUUGACGGUACCUCGGGAGGAAGCUCCGGCUAACUCCGUGCCAGCAGCCGCGGUAAUACGGGGGGAGCAAACGUUGUUCGGAAUUACUGGGCGUAAAGGGCGCGUAGGCGGCCCGGUCAGUGGAAUGUGAAAUGCCCUGGCUCAACCAGGGAACUGCAUUCCAUACUGCCAGGCUUGAGUACAGGAGAGGAUGGGGGAAUUCCCGGUGUAGCGGUGGAAUGCAUUGAUAUCGGGAGGAACACCAGUGGCGAAGGCGCCCAUCUGGCCUGAUACUGACGCUCAGGCGCGAAAGCUAGGGGAGCAAACAGGAUUAGAUACCCUGGUAGUCCUAGCCGUAAACGGUGAGCACUAGGUGUAGGAGGCAUCGACCCCUCCUGUGCCGCAGCUAACGCAUUAAGUGCUCCGCCUGGGGGAGUAC